Molecule: ribosomal RNA, 2931 nt
Filed under: Escherichia coli
Lineage: Bacteria; Pseudomonadati; Pseudomonadota; Gammaproteobacteria; Enterobacterales; Enterobacteriaceae
Description: 23S ribosomal RNA
Rfam family: Bacterial large subunit ribosomal RNA
Source: RNAcentral
GGGUUGUGAGGUUAAGCGACUAAGCGUACACGGUGGAUGCCCUGGCAGUCAGAGGCGAUGAAGGACGUGCUAAUCUGCGAUAAGCGUCGGUAAGGUGAUAUGAACCGUUAUAACCGGCGAUUUCCGAAUGGGGAAACCCAGUGUGAUUCGUCACACUAUCAUUAACUGAAUCCAUAGGUUAAUGAGGCGAACCGGGGGAACUGAAACAUCUAAGUACCCCGAGGAAAAGAAAUCAACCGAGAUUCCCCCAGUAGCGGCGAGCGAACGGGGAGCAGCCCAGAGCCUGAAUCAGUGUGUGUGUUAGUGGAAGCGUCUGGAAAGGCGUGCGAUACAGGGUGACAGCCCCGUACACAAAAAUGCACAUGCUGUGAGCUCGAUGAGUAGGGCGGGACACGUGGUAUCCUGUCUGAAUAUGGGGGGACCAUCCUCCAAGGCUAAAUACUCCUGACUGACCGAUAGUGAACCAGUACCGUGAGGGAAAGGCGAAAAGAACCCCGGCGAGGGGAGUGAAAAAGAACCUGAAACCGUGUACGUACAAGCAGUGGGAGCACGCUUAGGCGUGUGACUGCGUACCUUUUGUAUAAUGGGUCAGCGACUUAUAUUCUGUAGCAAGGUUAACCGAAUAGGGGAGCCGAAGGGAAACCGAGUCUUAACUGGGCGUUAAGUUGCAGGGUAUAGACCCGAAACCCGGUGAUCUAGCCAUGGGCAGGUUGAAGGUUGGGUAACACUAACUGGAGGACCGAACCGACUAAUGUUGAAAAAUUAGCGGAUGACUUGUGGCUGGGGGUGAAAGGCCAAUCAAACCGGGAGAUAGCUGGUUCUCCCCGAAAGCUAUUUAGGUAGCGCCUCGUGAAUUCAUCUCCGGGGGUAGAGCACUGUUUCGGCAAGGGGGUCAUCCCGACUUACCAACCCGAUGCAAACUGCGAAUACCGGAGAAUGUUAUCACGGGAGACACACGGCGGGUGCUAACGUCCGUCGUGAAGAGGGAAACAACCCAGACCGCCAGCUAAGGUCCCAAAGUCAUGGUUAAGUGGGAAACGAUGUGGGAAGGCCCAGACAGCCAGGAUGUUGGCUUAGAAGCAGCCAUCAUUUAAAGAAAGCGUAAUAGCUCACUGGUCGAGUCGGCCUGCGCGGAAGAUGUAACGGGGCUAAACCAUGCACCGAAGCUGCGGCAGCGACGCUUAUGCGUUGUUGGGUAGGGGAGCGUUCUGUAAGCCUGUGAAGGUGUACUGUGAGGUAUGCUGGAGGUAUCAGAAGUGCGAAUGCUGACAUAAGUAACGAUAAAGCGGGUGAAAAGCCCGCUCGCCGGAAGACCAAGGGUUCCUGUCCAACGUUAAUCGGGGCAGGGUGAGUCGACCCCUAAGGCGAGGCCGAAAGGCGUAGUCGAUGGGAAACAGGUUAAUAUUCCUGUACUUGGUGUUACUGCGAAGGGGGGACGGAGAAGGCUAUGUUGGCCGGGCGACGGUUGUCCCGGUUUAAGCGUGUAGGCUGGUUUUCCAGGCAAAUCCGGAAAAUCAAGGCUGAGGCGUGAUGACGAGGCACUACGGUGCUGAAGCAACAAAUGCCCUGCUUCCAGGAAAAGCCUCUAAGCAUCAGGUAACAUCAAAUCGUACCCCAAACCGACACAGGUGGUCAGGUAGAGAAUACCAAGGCGCUUGAGAGAACUCGGGUGAAGGAACUAGGCAAAAUGGUGCCGUAACUUCGGGAGAAGGCACGCUGAUAUGUAGGUGAAGCGACUUGCUCGUGGAGCUGAAAUCAGUCGAAGAUACCAGCUGGCUGCAACUGUUUAUUAAAAACACAGCACUGUGCAAACACGAAAGUGGACGUAUACGGUGUGACGCCUGCCCGGUGCCGGAAGGUUAAUUGAUGGGGUCAGCGCAAGCGAAGCUCUUGAUCGAAGCCCCGGUAAACGGCGGCCGUAACUAUAACGGUCCUAAGGUAGCGAAAUUCCUUGUCGGGUAAGUUCCGACCUGCACGAAUGGCGUAAUGAUGGCCAGGCUGUCUCCACCCGAGACUCAGUGAAAUUGAACUCGCUGUGAAGAUGCAGUGUACCCGCGGCAAGACGGAAAGACCCCGUGAACCUUUACUAUAGCUUGACACUGAACAUUGAGCCUUGAUGUGUAGGAUAGGUGGGAGGCUUGGAAGUGUGGACGCCAGUCUGCAUGGAGCCGACCUUGAAAUACCACCCUUUAAUGUUUGAUGUUCUAACGUGGACCCGUGAUCCGGGUUGCGGACAGUGUCUGGUGGGUAGUUUGACUGGGGCGGUCUCCUCCUAAAGAGUAACGGAGGAGCACGAAGGUUGGCUAAUCCUGGUCGGACAUCAGGAGGUUAGUGCAAUGGCAUAAGCCAGCUUGACUGCGAGCGUGACGGCGCGAGCAGGUGCGAAAGCAGGUCAUAGUGAUCCGGUGGUUCUGAAUGGAAGGGCCAUCGCUCAACGGAUAAAAGGUACUCCGGGGAUAACAGGCUGAUACCGCCCAAGAGUUCAUAUCGACGGCGGUGUUUGGCACCUCGAUGUCGGCUCAUCACAUCCUGGGGCUGAAGUAGGUCCCAAGGGUAUGGCUGUUCGCCAUUUAAAGUGGUACGCGAGCUGGGUUUAGAACGUCGUGAGACAGUUCGGUCCCUAUCUGCCGUGGGCGCUGGAGAACUGAGGGGGGCUGCUCCUAGUACGAGAGGACCGGAGUGGACGCAUCACUGGUGUUCGGGUUGUCAUGCCAAUGGCACUGCCCGGUAGCUAAAUGCGGAAGAGAUAAGUGCUGAAAGCAUCUAAGCACGAAACUUGCCCCGAGAUGAGUUCUCCCUGAGACUUUAAGUCUCCUGAAGGAACGUUGAAGACGACGACGUUGAUAGGCCGGGUGUGUAAGCGCAGCGAUGCGUUGAGCUAACCGGUACUAAUGAACCGUGAGGCUUAACCUUACAACGCCGAAGGUGUUU